This 253-nucleotide ribosomal RNA is filed under the name uncultured bacterium. RNAcentral's name for it is "partial 16S ribosomal RNA". It matches the Rfam family "Bacterial small subunit ribosomal RNA", at positions 524 to 776 of the family's 1533-position model. The record is from RNAcentral.
UACGGAGGGUGCAAGCGUUAAUCGGAAUUACUGGGCGUAAGGCGCACGCAGGCGGUUUGGUAAGUCAGAGGUGAAAUCCCCCGGCUCAACCUGGGAACUGCCUUUGAAACUGGCAAGCUAGAGUCUCGUAGAGGGGGGUAGAAUUCCAGGUGUAGCGGUGAAAUGCGUAGAGAUCUGGAGGAAUACCGGUGGCGAAGGCGGCCCCCUGGACGAAGACUGACGCUCAGGUGCGAAAGCGUGGGGAGCAAACAGG